AGGGAAUCUUCCGCAAUGGGCGAAAGCCUGACGGAGCAACGCCGCGUGAGUGAUGAAGGUUUUCGGAUCGUAAAGCUCUGUUGCCAGGGAAGAACGUCUCAUAGAGUAACUGCUAUGAGAGUGACGGUACCUGAGAAGAAAGCCCCGGCUAACUACGUGCCAGCAGCCGCGGUAAUACGUAGGGGGCAAGCGUUGUCCGGAAUUAUUGGGCGUAAAGCGCGCGCAGGCGGUUCUUUAAGUCUGGUGUUUAAACCCGAGGCUCAACUUCGGGACGCACUGGAAACUGGGGAACUUGAGUGCAGAAAAGGAGAGUGGAAUUCCACGUGUAGCGGUGAAAUGCGUAGAUAUGUGGAGGAACACCAGUGGCGAAGGCGACUCUCUGGGCUGUAACUGACGCUGAGGCGCGAAAGCGUGGGGAGCGAAC
Molecule: ribosomal RNA, 424 nt
Filed under: uncultured bacterium
Lineage: Bacteria
Description: bacterial SSU rRNA
Rfam family: Bacterial small subunit ribosomal RNA
Source: RNAcentral